CCUACGGGAGGCAGCAGUGAGGAAUAUUGGUCAAUGGGAGAGAUCCUGAACCAGCCAAGCCGCGUGAGGGAAGACGGCCCUAUGGGUUGUAAACCUCUUUUGUCGGAGAACAAAACCCGGGACGUGUCCCGGACUGCGUGUAUCCGAAGAAAAAGCAUCGGCUAACUCCGUCCCAGCAGCCGCGGUAAUACGGGGGAUGCGAGCGUUAUCCGGAUUUAUUUGGUUAAAAGGGUGCGGGGGCGGUCCGUUAAGUCAGCGGGAAAAUUGCGGGGCUAAACCCCGUCGAGCCGUUGAAACUGGCAGACUUGAGUUGGCGAGAGGUACGCGGAAUGCGCGGUGUAGCGGUGAAAUGCAUAGAUAUCGCGCAGAACUCCGAUUGCGAAGGCAGCGUACCGGCGCCAGACUGACGCUGAGGCACGAAAGCGUGGGGAUCGAACAGGAUUAGAUACCCUGGUAGUC
RNAcentral lists this ribosomal RNA (459 nucleotides) under uncultured bacterium. Its description in RNAcentral is "partial 16S ribosomal RNA". It matches the Rfam family "Bacterial small subunit ribosomal RNA", at positions 338 to 795 of the family's 1533-position model. The record is from RNAcentral.